Molecule: small nucleolar RNA, 130 nt
Organism: Rattus norvegicus (Norway rat)
Lineage: Eukaryota; Metazoa; Chordata; Mammalia; Rodentia; Muridae
Product: small nucleolar RNA SNORA17
Source: Ensembl
UCCUCCCCUAGAGUGCUGCAGGUGUGCGUGGCUGCUGUGUCACAUGGGCAUCAGUAGGUGGCAGAGAGGACAGAGGCUAUGUUUAUGCUCAAUGUUCUGUGAAUAUCUGAAUGAUUAGUAGCCUAACAUU